CAGAGAACGUCGCCCUCGCGGGUGUAUCUCCAACCCUAUGUUAUUAUAACUUUGUUGCUUUGGCGAGCCGCCUCGGCCACCGGCUUUUGCUGGUGAGUGCUCGCCAGAGGACCCAAAACUCUGAAUAUUAAUGUCGUCUGAGUACUAUAUAAUAGUUA
RNAcentral lists this unclassified non-coding RNA (158 nucleotides) under uncultured Xenochalara. RNAcentral's name for it is "sequence contains ITS1". The record is from RNAcentral. Lineage: Eukaryota; Fungi; Ascomycota.